This 437-nucleotide ribosomal RNA is filed under the name uncultured Oscillospiraceae bacterium. Its description in RNAcentral is "bacterial SSU rRNA". It matches the Rfam family "Bacterial small subunit ribosomal RNA", at positions 341 to 792 of the family's 1533-position model. The record is from RNAcentral. Lineage: Bacteria; Bacillati; Bacillota; Clostridia; Eubacteriales; Oscillospiraceae.
ACGGAAGGCAGCAGUUGGGAAUAUUGCGCAAUGGGGGCAACCCUGACGCAGCAACGCCGCGUGAAGGAAGACGGUUUUCGGAUUGUAAACUUCUUUUAUUGAGGACGAAGACAAUGACGGUACUCAAUGAAUAAGCUCCGGCUAACUACGUGCCAGCAGCCGCGGUAAUACGUAGGGAGCAAGCGUUGUCCGGAAUUACUGGGUGUAAAGGGCGAGUAGGCGGACUCAACAGUCAGGUGUGAAAUACCGGGGCUUAACCCCGGGGCUGCAUUUGAAACUAUGAGUCUUGAGAGAUGGAGAGGUAAGCGGAAUUCCUAGUGUAGCGGUGAAAUGCGUAGAUAUUAGGAGGAACACCAGUGGCGAAGGCGGCUUACUGGACAUCUACUGACGCUGAGGAGCGAAAGCGUGGGGAGCAAACAGGAUUAGAUACCCUGGUA